RNAcentral lists this ribosomal RNA (253 nucleotides) under uncultured bacterium. RNAcentral describes it as "partial 16S ribosomal RNA". It matches the Rfam family "Bacterial small subunit ribosomal RNA", at positions 524 to 776 of the family's 1533-position model. The record is from RNAcentral.
UACGUAGGGUGCGAGCGUUAAUCGGAAUUACUGGGCGUAAAGCGUGCGCAGGCGGUUCUGCAAGUCAGAUGUGAAAUCCCCGGGCUUAACCUGGGAACUGCGUUUGAAACUACGGAGCUAGAGUGCGGCAGAGGGGGGUGGAAUUCCACGUGUAGCAGUGAAAUGCGUAGAUAUGCGGAGGAACACCGAUGGCGAAGGCAAUCCCCUGGGCCUGCACUGACGCUCAUGCACGAAAGCGUGGGGAGCGAUCCGG